UAGGAGAUGCUUCAAAGCCAUUUGGGUUCGUCGAUAAAUCUAGAGAUAUCACCACCAACAACAGAAGCAGCAGCAGCUUAGGCUUUUGCAUGGCCUUAUCUAUUGGUCCAAAUCCUACAAAUCAACAAGAAUUGCAACUAGAACAAGAACAAGAACACAGCAAUGAUAAUUCUACAGAUUCAGCAACAACAACCAAAAUCAAAACACCAACUAAUCUCUCCCUCUUAGAUCCACCUUUGAUCCAGCUUGAUCUUCUACCAAACACUCCUGUCACUCGCAGCAACCUCCAUGCCCUUCCUUGGCCUUCCUCUGAUAACGGGAGUUGUGAAGUGGCUUCAUCAGGGAACAUGGCCAGAUCAGGGUUAGAUGUGAAUAGGCUCCCAGCUGUUGAGGAGGCUGAGGAUGGGGCUGCACUUUCAUCUUCGCC
This 427-nucleotide unclassified non-coding RNA is filed under the name Hevea brasiliensis (rubber tree). The record is from RNAcentral. Lineage: Eukaryota; Viridiplantae; Streptophyta; Magnoliopsida; Malpighiales; Euphorbiaceae.